CCCUAUGGGGCGCAGCAGGCGACACUGUAGUAGGCGCUACCUCCGGAAAGACCGGUGUCGUUGUUGCUGUCUAUGUGGCUUCCGGUACCUGGGGGAGUGGCAAUGCGGCAGGCUUCCUCUAUCUGAAGUAUCCUGGAGCUGAUUGGAGCAACUGGACCAACCCCGAGAAUAUCCGGGUUGGUGGAGCCACAAGAGCCGCGACAACUGGAACAGGUGAAGCUCUUGGGCUGACCAGGCAGGAUGCAGAGACAUACUGCAACAACAUCGGCAGCACCAGGUGGGGCUGUGCGAAUAUUUGGACGCUCGAUGCGCUCACGCUCCUCUAUCUGAUCGAGUACGCCAACUGGAACUCGCAGAGUACCAGUGUUGGAAUUGGCGGGAGGGC
This 385-nucleotide ribosomal RNA is filed under the name uncultured prokaryote. RNAcentral describes it as "partial 16S ribosomal RNA". The record is from RNAcentral.